RNAcentral lists this ribosomal RNA (253 nucleotides) under uncultured bacterium. RNAcentral's name for it is "partial 16S ribosomal RNA". It matches the Rfam family "Bacterial small subunit ribosomal RNA", at positions 524 to 776 of the family's 1533-position model. The record is from RNAcentral.
UACGUAGGGGGCAAGCGUUGUCCGGAUUUACUGGGCGUAAAGAGCGCGUAGGCGGAAAUUUAAGCGUGGCCUGAAAGCCCCCGGCUCAACCGGGGAGUGCGGCUGCGAACUGGAUUUCUUGAGGACGAUAGAGGAGAGUGGAAUUCCUGGUGUAGCGGUGAAAUGCGUAGAUAUCAGGAGGAACACCGGUGGCGAAGGCGGCAUCCUGGACCGACACUGACGCUGAGGAGCGAAAGCCAGGGGAGCAAACGGG